This 460-nucleotide ribosomal RNA is filed under the name uncultured bacterium. RNAcentral's name for it is "partial 16S ribosomal RNA". It matches the Rfam family "Bacterial small subunit ribosomal RNA", at positions 338 to 795 of the family's 1533-position model. The record is from RNAcentral.
CCUACGGGGGGCAGCAGUGAGGAAUAUUGGUCAAUGGACGAGAGUCUGAACCAGCCAAGUAGCGUGAAGGAUGACUGCCCUAUGGGUUGUAAACUUCUUUUAUAAAGGAAUAAAACGAGGCACGUGUGCCUUUUUGCAUGUACUUUAUGAAUAAGGAUCGGCUAACUCCGUGCCAGCAGCCGCGGUAAUACGGAGGAUCCGAGCGUUAUCCGGAUUUAUUGGGUUUAAAGGGAGCGUAGAUGGGUUGUUAAGUCAGUUGUGAAAGUUUGUGGCUCAACCGCAAAAUUGCAAUUGAUACUGGCAGUCUUGAGUACAGUUGAGGUAGGCGGAAUUCGUGGUGUAGCGGUGAAAUGCUUAGAUAUCACGAAGAACCCCGAUUGCGAAGGCAGCUUACUAAACUGUGACUGACAUUGAUGCUCGAAAGUGUGGGUAGCAAACAGGAUUAGAUACCCCAGUAGUC